ACACUGUCUGGCUUUCUCCUGUGCAAUCCCUGAGUUUUUGGUUGCAAUUCUGACACAACCCUUUCGGGUGGGCGGGACUUCUGAGAAGUCCUCUCCCAUAGGACAGUGGUUUCUCUUGAGUGAUAGUUCAGUGACCUGGAAGUGAUGUAGCCUCCAAGACAUUUUUUUUCCCCCACCUGGUCAACACCAUGAAUUUUGAGCCCCAAACAGGUUAUUUCUGCUGUCUGUGGUGUCUACUGAGGAUCUAAAGAACCUGUGGAACAUCAGAGACUUUGCAGCUACUGGAGCUAACCUUUGUACUGCUAUUGCUACAGAGGAAGCAGCAGAAAGCUGAGCUAACAGGCUGUUUUGCAGGUAAAUACUCUUUUAGUGGAACUGCAGGAUUUUUAUGGUAUAACUCAGACAGAAUCUACAUGAGCUAUUGUGGGAAGACAUUUAAACUACAUUUACAUACAGAUACAUGUAUUUUUUUAUUCCAUGUUACUUGGACGGGCUAAACAAGUUCAUAGUUCUGCCUGCUCCUUUUUCAGUGAAACGAAUGGAUUUUAUGAUGUAACUCUGACUGAAUAAUUAUCUAAAUUGAAAACUGCUGCAUUGCAUUACAAUGGAAGUGCUAAACAGCCACAUGCAUCAACUGCAGCUGUUGACAAGCAUAUGGACCUAUUGUUCGAGUCCGUGGUGGUGGAUGCUCUAUCAUAUCAGGAGUCGGUGGUGGUGGAUGCUCUACCAUAUCAGGAGUCUGACUAAGUACCUGUGCCUGAACCUCUCUGUGUCUAGUUCAAAAGACCUGAAAGACCUGCUGUAAGCAGGCACAGGAUAAUAUUUUAAAAGAACCUGUAAGGUGAGCAACACAACACAAUAUAAAUCUUUAUUAUUAUUGUACGCUGUACAGUUAGAAUAAACUUGCAUGCUCAGAAGCCACGUAUGAUUACAUCGCCUACAGGUUGCCUGAUGCUGAACUUCGGGCAGCUGCGUGCUCCGUGGAACAACCGCCUGUGGGAGGAGUCGUUGUGUUGCUGUUAGGAGUUUGGGUCGGAGUCCUGGGUUUGUGUUCCCUUUAAUCUCUUCAUUAGCCUUGCUAGUCACCAUUGCAGAGCACCAUGGAGAGGCUUACCUGAAAACUCUUCUCAUGGGGCAGGCACAUCCUCACACACCUGUAACCCCAUCCUUGAAUAAAAGCUGGUAGCUGGUCACUCAUCAGAGUGUUUUAACCCAUAUCUAGCCCAUGACUCUGCCGUUUUUCAAACUUACGUUCUCAUGUUCUAUGCAGAUCUAUGGGAAUUCUUUCCUUGAAGCUCCUGAUCACACAACCAUACUGGCAGUCGGCUUACCCACUACCUUCUGCUCACCCGCUUGCUACUCAUGCUGUCAUUCUCCCAGACUUCUGGUUGUUUCGCCACCAUUCUGCUGUCUCCCGUCUGCGCUACAAUUUUAGACCGUAAGUACCUAAACUUUUCCUUUUGUAAGUCAUUCUUUAGUCAUUACUAACACUCAAUUUUACCUCAGGGCCUUCUGAUCUUUAAACACUAAAACCUGUGGCUCCAUCUCUGUGGUGUUUCUCAGACUCUGUAAGCUACCUGCACAGUCUAAGAAAACCCUGACCUGUUGCCUCUUACUAACCUCUGCUCUUCCUCGCAGAAGCUUCUGGUUCCUGAUCUCCAGCUGUUACCUCUUCAGUCAUCCGUCAAACAUUUUAAUAAACUGUUUUUAGCUCAUUUGUCUCCUGAGUUUCUCUGCAUGAAGGUCAGGUUGUUGCAAAAAUCAUGACAUCAGCAAUUACUUUGCACCACUCUGUUAAACAGCUGAUAUUAAUUUCAAGUGUAUCUUUAAAAAUACAUUGAAUGUCAAAGUGAAUGAAAGGCAUCCAUUCAGCUUUCGGUGUCUAAUGCAGGAUUUUAUGGACAGGCACCAAAACAGGAAAUUUAUAAAUUGAGAUUUAUUUACUAAAUCAGGUAAACCAUAAUAAAAUACUAAUGUUUAAAGUCCGGAGGAGGGAGGAAGGCUUUAUAGCAGGGGUAUUCAAUUCUAGUCCUGGAUGGCUGGUAUCCAGCACGUUUUAGUUGUUUCCCUGCUCCAACACACUUGAAUCAGUGGUUGAAUUACCUGUGCAGCAGCUCUGCAGAAGCCUGUUAAUUAUCUGCUGACUGAAAUCAGGUGUAUUGAAACAGAGUUAAAACUAAAACGUGCUGGAUACCGGCCCUCCAGGCCCAGAAGUAAAUACUCCUGCUUUAUAGGCACAGAGAACUCCCAUCAGGAUCCUGGAGACGGCACAAAGAGAUGACGACAUGAGUGUGCCCUCCCAGAUCACACCAACACCACCUGACCACAUGGAGAAAUGUGUCUGUAAGAAAGAAAAACUGGUGAUGUAAGAGAUUAAACAAAAACUACGAACAAAAUCAAUUUUACAGUUGUUUAACCUGCUGAGCAUCGUCUCCCCAAAGAGCUGCACAAAGGUGCAACUGGCUCAGAACCAGGGUGCUCCGUUAUGCAGGUGGUCACCUCCUCCUGCUGACACCCGAGGAUUACCUACAACAAAGGGAAAACUGAUAUCAAUAAGGAAAUAAUUAAAUCAGAGCUAAAAGUUUAAUUUUAGUGUGACGUUUGAGAUUGUGGGAAAUAAAUGUGGACAUUAUGAUUUUCUAUUGUGGGAUCAGUACCUUGGGCGUUUCUCUGUAGCAACAUUUUGUCUGGCUGACAAUGAAGUAAAAAAGUCACCAGUUGAGGCAGAGUUAGACUACAUUACUCCAGCUAAGCUAAAUGUAGCUAAAAUAGACACUAGUCACCAGACUAUGGUUACUAUAGAUUUACUAGAGAGUUACAUCAUAUAAUCCAUUCGUUUCACUGAAAAAGGAGCAGGCAGAACUAUGAACUUGUUUAGCCCGUCCAAGUAACAUGGAAUAAAAAAUACAUGUAUCUGUAUGUAAAUGUAGUUUAAAAGUCUUCCCACAAUAGCUCAUGUAAAUUCUGAGUUAUACCAUAAAAGUCCUGCAGUUCCACUAAAAGAGUAUUUACCUGCAAAACAGCCUGUUAGCUCAGCUUUCUGCUGCUUCCUCUGUAGCAAGUUAGCAGUACACAGGUUAGCUCUAAUAGCUGCAAAGUCUCUGAUGUUCCACAGGUUCCUGAAAAAUUUGCAAACUUAUUAACAUAAACCGCAAUAAUUUAUUCCAUGAAACCAGUAAUGAAUAUGUUAAGAUGAGUUUUUAAUACGUCUCUCUGGAACAAUAGUCCAUUGUCCUGAGGCUAGCACAAUGGCUUGCUUAGCAGCUAGCUAGUGAGCUAGCGUCUGGUUAAAACCAACUUAAAAAGUGGCUUAACUUACAGAUGAACUAAGAAAAGAUAAAAUAUAUUAUCAAUACUCACUUUAGAUCCUCAGUAGACACCACAGACAGCAGAAAUAACCUGUUUGGGGCUCAAAAUUCAUGUUGUUGACCAGGUGGAAAAAAAUGUCUUGGAGGCUACAUCACUUCCAGGUCACUGAACUGUCACUCAAGAGAAACCACUGUCCUAUGGGAGAGGACUUCUCAGAAGUCCCGCCCACCCGAAAGGGUUGUGUCAGAAUUGCAACCAAAAACUCAGGGAUUGCAAAGGAGAAAGCCAGACAGUGUAAGUGCAAAUCUGGAAGUGAGAGCAAAGCUCUGAGCAGAGAGAACAAAACUAAGGAAAUUGAUAACAAAAACACAUAGAGGCAAACAGAAAAAGGAAACAUACUUUGUUACUCAUUUUAAGAAGUUGAUUCAGAUAGUAAGUUUUACUUUUGAAACAUGUUUUUUUCCUUUAGUCAAUAUUUUUGUUCUGUCAAUUUCUUAAUUUUUGUUUGACCGUCAAAGUGUUUUUCUUGAUCAUUUUAAGAAUCUGAUUCAGAUCGUAAGUUUUUCUUUUGAAACCAAGGUUUUUUCUCUCAAUGUCUUAAAAUUUGUUUGCUCUCCAAAGUGUUUUUCUUGAUCCUAUUGGCACAAAUCUAAU
Nothobranchius furzeri (turquoise killifish) is the source of this 3963-nucleotide non-coding RNA. NCBI's taxonomy places the organism in Eukaryota, Metazoa, Chordata, Actinopteri, Cyprinodontiformes, Nothobranchiidae. The record is from RefSeq and is a predicted model, not a curated record.